RNAcentral lists this ribosomal RNA (253 nucleotides) under uncultured bacterium. Its description in RNAcentral is "partial 16S ribosomal RNA". It matches the Rfam family "Bacterial small subunit ribosomal RNA", at positions 524 to 776 of the family's 1533-position model. The record is from RNAcentral.
UACGUAGGGGGCGAGCGUUGUCCGGAAUUAUUGGGCGUAAAGAGCUCGUAGGCGGCUUGUCGCGUCGGAUGUGAAAGCCCGGGGCUUAACUCCGGGUCUGCAUUCGAUACGGGCAGGCUAGAGUGUGGUAGGGGAGAUCGGAAUUCCUGGUGUAGCGGUGAAAUGCGCAGAUAUCAGGAGGAACACCGGUGGCGAAGGCGGAUCUCUGGGCCAUUACUGACGCUGAGGAGCGAAAGCGUGGGGAGCGAACAGG